UUGGAGGGCAAGUCUGGUGCCAGCAGCCGCGGUAAUUCCAGCUCCAAUAGCGUAUAUUAAAGUUGUUGCAGUUAAAAAGCUCGUAGUUGAACUUCGGGGUUUACCCAUUGGUCAGGCUUAAUUGUCUGUACUGGUGAGAUAAAUCUCUACCUUCUGAGGAACUUUCAUGCCAUUUAUUUGGUGUGAUUGGAAAUCAGGACUAUUACUUUGAAAAAUUAGAGUGUUUAAAGCAGGCUAACGUCUGAAUAUAUUAGCAUGGAAUAAUGAAAUAGGACGGCUUGGUUCUAUUUCGUUGGUUUCUAGGAUCACCGUAAUGAUUAAUAGGGAUAGUUGGGGGCAUUAGUAUUCAAUUGUCAGAGGUGAAAUUCUUGGAUUUAUUGAAGACUAACUACUGCGAAAGCAUUUGCCAAGGAUGUUUUCAUUAAUCAAGAACGAAAGUUAGGGGAUCGAAGACGAUCAGAUACCGUCGUAGUCUUAACCAUAAACUAUGCCGACUAGGGAUCGGACGAAGUUAAUUUUAUAAUGACGCGUUCGGCGCCUUACGGGAAAC
Molecule: ribosomal RNA, 550 nt
Filed under: uncultured Diversisporaceae
Lineage: Eukaryota; Fungi; Glomeromycota; Glomeromycetes; Diversisporales
Description: SSU rRNA
Rfam family: Eukaryotic small subunit ribosomal RNA
Source: RNAcentral